GAUGAACGCUGGCGGCGUGCCUAAUACAUGCAAGUCGAGCGAACGGACGAGAAGCUUGCUUCUCUGAUGUUAGCGGCGGACGGGUGAGUAACACGUGGAUAACCUACCUAUAAGACUGGGAUAACUUCGGGAAACCGGAGCUAAUACCGGAUAAUAUUUUGAACCGCAUGGUUCAAAAGUGAAAGACGGUCUUGCUGUCACUUAUAGAUGGAUCCGCGCUGCAUUAGCUAGUUGGUAAGGUAACGGCUUACCAAGGCAACGAUGCAUAGCCGACCUGAGAGGGUGAUCGGCCACACUGGAACUGAGACACGGUCCAGACUCCUACGGGAGGCAGCAGUAGGGAAUCUUCCGCAAUGGGCGAAAGCCUGACGGAGCAACGCCGCGUGAGUGAUGAAAGUCUUCGGAUCGUAAAACUCUGUUAUUAGGGAAGAACAUAUGUGUAAGUAACUGUGCACAUCUUGACGGUACCUAAUCAGAAAGCCACGGCUAACUACGUGCCAGCAGCCGCGGUAAUACGUAGGUGGCAAGCGUUAUCCGGAAUUAUUGGGCGUAAAGGCGCGCGUAGGCGGUUUUUUAGUCUGAUGUGAAAGCCCACGGCCCCACCCGUGGAGGGUCAUUGGAAACUGGAAAACUUGAGUGCAGAAGAGGAAAGUGGAAUUCCAUGUGUAGCGGUGAAAUGCGCAGAGAUAUGGAGGAACACCAGUGGCGAAGGCGACUUUCUGGUCUGUAACUGACGCUGAUGUGCGAAAGCGUGGGGAUCAAACAGGAUUAGAUACCCUGGUAGUCCACGCCGUAAACGAUGAGUGCUAAGUGUUAGGGGGUUUCCGCCCCUUAGUGCUGCAGCUAACGCAUUAAGCACUCCGCCUGGGGAGUACGACCGCAAGGUUGAAACUCAAAGGAAUUGACGGGGACCCGCACAAGCGGUGGAGCAUGUGGUUUAAUUCGAAGCAACGCGAAGAACCUUACCAAAUCUUGACAUCCUUUGACAACUCUAGAGAUAGAGCCUUCCCCUUCGGGGGACAAAGUGACAGGUGGUGCAUGGUUGUCGUCAGCUCGUGUCGUGAGAUGUUGGGUUAAGUCCCGCAACGAGCGCAACCCUUAAGCUUAGUUGCCAUCAUUAAGUUGGGCACUCUAAGUUGACUGCCGGUGACAAACCGGAGGAAGGUGGGGAUGACGUCAAAUCAUCAUGCCCCUUAUGAUUUGGGCUACACACGUGCUACAAUGGACAAUACAAAGGGCAGCGAAACCGCGAGGUCAAGCAAAUCCCAUAAAGUUGUUCUCAGUUCGGAUUGUAGUCUGCAACUCGACUACAUGAAGCUGGAAUCGCUAGUAAUCGUAGAUCAGCAUGCUACGGUGAAUACGUUCCCGGGUCU
Molecule: ribosomal RNA, 1373 nt
Filed under: uncultured bacterium
Lineage: Bacteria
Description: bacterial SSU rRNA
Rfam family: Bacterial small subunit ribosomal RNA
Source: RNAcentral